AGAGAGAGACAUGCGCGAUAUCAAUAAGCGGAGGAAAAGAAACUAACAUAGGAUUCCCCUAGUAACGGCGAGCUGAAGCGGGAAGAGCUCAAAUUUGAAAUCUUCAAGGUUCUACCUUGACGAAUUGUAGUUUAAAGAAGUGUUUUCUGUUGAAGUUUUGGUAAAAGUUCUUUGGAAUAGGACAUUAUAGAGGGUGAGAAUCCCGUAUUUGACCAUUAUCUUCAGCUUUGUGAUACACUUUCAAAGAGUCGGAUUGUUUGGGAAUGCAGUCCAAAAUGGGUGGUAAAUUUCAUCUAAAGCUAAAUAUUGGCGAGAGACCGAUAGCGAACAAGUACCGUGAGGGAAAGAUGAAAAGAACUUUGAAAAGAGAGUUAAACAGUACGUGAAAUUGUCAAAAGGGAAGCGUUUGACACCAGUGUUGUUUUUCUCGAAAAUCAAUUAAAAAUGGUUCGAUUUUGUAUUGCUUGAGACCUUAAAAGCUCACUGUACAUUUUUCGUGUCUUUUUUAAUGCACUUUUCGUUUAACAAGUCAACAUCAGUUUCCUUUUGUUGUAAAAGGGUCAUUGGAAGGAUGGCUUUCUUUUCGGAGAAAGUGUUUAUAGCCUUUGGCCUCUGCAAUCGAAGAGACUGAGGUCUGCAGCGUAGACUCUUCGGGGUUAGAUACAUUUGUGCUAAGUUAUAGCUUUUUAUAGACGACUUGUUGACUAUAAUUAGUCUUGUAGCUUACUCGCUUAUGCUAUUUUACCUACGCUUAGGAUGUUGAGUCGUAGAGCACGCAG
This 779-nucleotide ribosomal RNA is filed under the name uncultured Neocallimastigales. Its description in RNAcentral is "partial large subunit ribosomal RNA". It matches the Rfam family "Eukaryotic large subunit ribosomal RNA", at positions 37 to 634 of the family's 3401-position model. The record is from RNAcentral. Lineage: Eukaryota; Fungi; Neocallimastigomycota; Neocallimastigomycetes; Neocallimastigales.